GGAGAGGUGGCCGAGUGGUUUAAGGCGAUGGUCUUGAAAACCAUUGUACGGUCCUCCGUACCGCAGGUUCGAAUCCUGUCCUCUCCG
This 87-nucleotide transfer RNA is filed under the name Chloroflexota bacterium. RNAcentral describes it as "Chloroflexi bacterium tRNA-Ser". It matches the Rfam family "tRNA". Rfam says of the family: Transfer RNA (tRNA) molecules are approximately 80 nucleotides in length. Their secondary structure includes four short double-helical elements and three loops (D, anti-codon, and T loops). The record is from RNAcentral. Lineage: Bacteria; Bacillati; Chloroflexota. RNAcentral also lists the same sequence under 4 other names.